Molecule: ribosomal RNA, 460 nt
Filed under: uncultured bacterium
Lineage: Bacteria
Description: partial 16S ribosomal RNA
Rfam family: Bacterial small subunit ribosomal RNA
Source: RNAcentral
CCUACGGGAGGCAGCAGUGAGGAAUAUUGGUCAAUGGGCGGAAGCCUGAACCAGCCAAGUAGCGUGCAGGAUGACGGCCCUACGGGUUGUAAACUGCUUUUAUACGGGAAUAACGCGCCUUACGUGUAGGGCUUUGCAUGUACCGUAUGAAUAAGGACCGGCUAAUUCCGUGCCAGCAGCCGCGGUAAUACGGAAGGUCCGGGCGUUAUCCGGAUUUAUUGGGUUUAAAGGGAGCGUAGGCCGCAUGUCAAGCGUGCUGUGAAAUGUCCGGGCUCAACCCGGGCCUUGCAGCGCGAACUGGCGGGCUAGAGUCCGCGGAAGGCAGGCGGAAUUCGUCGUGUAGCGGUGAAAUGCUUAGAUAUGACGAAGAACCCCGGUUGCGAAGGCAGCUUGCUGCAGCGGAACUGACGCUGAUGCUCGAAAGCGCGGGUAUCGAACAGGAUUAGAUACCCCUGUAGUC